RNAcentral lists this ribosomal RNA (333 nucleotides) under uncultured bacterium. RNAcentral describes it as "bacterial SSU rRNA". It matches the Rfam family "Bacterial small subunit ribosomal RNA", at positions 568 to 899 of the family's 1533-position model. The record is from RNAcentral.
UGCGCAGGCGGCUCAUUAAGACAGAUGUGAAAUCCCCGGGCUUAACCUGGGAACGGCGUUUGUGACUGAUGGGCUGGAGUGCGGCAGAGGGGGGUGGAAUUCCACGUGUAGCAGUGAAAUGCGUAGAGAUGUGGAGGAACACCGAUGGCGAAGGCAGCCCCCUGGGUCGACACUGACGCUCAGGCACGAAAGCGUGGGGAGCAAACAGGAUUAGAUACCCUGGUAGUCCACGCCCUAAACGAUGCGAACUAGGUGUUGGGGAAGGAGACUUCUUUAGUACCGCAGCUAACGCGUGAAGUUCGCCGCCUGGGGAGUACGGUCGCAAGAUUAAAA